UAUUGCACAAUGGGGGAAACCCUGAUGCAGCGACGCCGCGUGGGUGAAGAAGUAUUUCGGUAUGUAAAACCCUAUCAGCAGGGAAGAAGAUGACAGUACAUGACCAAGAAGCCCCGGCUAACUACGUGCCAGCAGCCGCGGUAAUACGUAGGGGGCAAGCGUUAUUCGGAUUUACUGGGUGUAAAGGGAGCGUAGACGGUGAUGUAAGUCUGGAGUGAAAGGCGGGGGCCCAACCCCCGGACUGCUCUGGAAACUAUGUGACUGGAGUGCAGGAGAGGUGAGCGGAAUUCCUAGUGUAGCGGUGAAAUGCGUAGAUAUUAGGAGGAACACCAGUGGCGAAGGCGGCUCACUGGACUGUAACUGACGUUGAGGCUCGAAAGCGUGGGGAGCAAACAGG
This 397-nucleotide ribosomal RNA is filed under the name uncultured bacterium. Its description in RNAcentral is "bacterial SSU rRNA". It matches the Rfam family "Bacterial small subunit ribosomal RNA", at positions 362 to 776 of the family's 1533-position model. The record is from RNAcentral.